This 469-nucleotide ribosomal RNA is filed under the name uncultured bacterium. Its description in RNAcentral is "partial 16S ribosomal RNA". It matches the Rfam family "Bacterial small subunit ribosomal RNA", at positions 27 to 507 of the family's 1533-position model. The record is from RNAcentral.
GGACGAACGCUGGCGGCGUGCUUAACCCAUGCAAGUCGAACGGAAAGGCCCUGCUUUUGUGGGGUGCUCGAGUGGCGAACGGGUUAGUAACACGUGAGUAACCUGCCCUUGACUUUGGGAUAACUUCAGGAAACUGGGGCUAAUACCGGAUAGGAGCUCCUGCUGCAUGGUGGGGGUUGGAAAGUUUCGGCGGUUGGGGAUGGAUUCGCGGCUUAUCAGCUUGUUGGUGGGGUAGUGGCUUACCAAGGCUUUGACGGGUAGCCGGCCUGAGAGGGUGACCGGCCACAUUGGGACUGAGAUACGGCCCAGACUCCUACGGGAGGCAGCAGUGGGGAAUAUUGCACAAUGGGCGGAAGCCUGAUGCAGCAACGCCGCGUGCGGGAUGACGGCCUUCGGGUUGUAAACCGCUUUCGCCUGUGACGAAGCGUGAGUGACGGUAAUGGGUAAAGAAGCACCGGCUAACUACGUG